Molecule: ribosomal RNA, 417 nt
Filed under: Escherichia coli
Lineage: Bacteria; Pseudomonadati; Pseudomonadota; Gammaproteobacteria; Enterobacterales; Enterobacteriaceae
Description: bacterial SSU rRNA
Rfam family: Bacterial small subunit ribosomal RNA
Source: RNAcentral
ACUGGCGGACGGGUGAGUAAUACAUCGGAACGUACCCAGAAGUGGGGGAUAACGUAGCGAAAGUUACGCUAAUACCGCAUACGUUCUACGGAAGAAAGUGGGGGACCGCAAGGCCUCAUGCUUUUGGAGCGGCCGAUGUCUGAUUAGCUAGUUGGUGAGGUAAAGGCUCACCAAGGCGACGAUCAGUAGCUGGUCUGAGAGGACGACCAGCCACACUGGGACUGAGACACGGCCCAGACUCCUACGGGAGGCAGCAGUGGGGAAUAUUGCGCAAUGGGCGCAAGCCUGACGCAGCGACGCCGCGUGGGGGAUGAAGGCCUUCGGGUUGUAAACCUCUUUCAGCAGGGACGAAGCGCAAGUGACGGUACCUGCAGAAGAAGCACCGGCCAACUACGUGCCAGCAGCCGCGGUAAUACG